This 231-nucleotide ribosomal RNA is filed under the name uncultured bacterium. Its description in RNAcentral is "partial 16S ribosomal RNA". It matches the Rfam family "Bacterial small subunit ribosomal RNA", at positions 118 to 347 of the family's 1533-position model. The record is from RNAcentral.
UGAGCAAUCUGCCCUUCUCAUCGGAAUAAGCGUUGGAAACGACGUCUAAUGCCGAAUACGACCUCCUUUCGCAUGAUCGGAGGUGGAAAGCUCCGGCGGAGAAGGAUGAGCUCGCGGCCUAUCAGCUAGUUGGUGUGGGUAACGGCCCACCAAGGCGACGACGGGUAGCCGGCCUGAGAGGGUGACCGGCCACACUGGGACUGAGACACGGCCCAGACUCCUACGAGAGCA